UAGGGUUUGAUUAUGGCUCAGAUUGAACGCUGGCGGUAACUUUUAAACAUGCAAGUCGAGCGGUAACAGACAUAAAGAUUCAGCUUGCUGAAUCCGGUGCUGACGAGCGGCGAACGGGUGAGUAACGCGUAGGAAUCUACCCAGUAGCGGGGGAUAGCCCGGGGAAACCCGGAUUAAUACCGCAUACGCCCUAAGGGGGAAAGGGGGCAGCUUGCUGCUUUCACUAUUGGAUGAGCCUGCGUAAGAUUAGCUUGUUGGUAGGGUAAAGGCCUACCAAGGCAACGAUCUUUAGCUGGUCUGAGAGGACGAUCAGCCACAUUGGGACUGAGACACGGCCCAGACAUCUACGGAUGGCAGCAGUUAAGAAUAUUGGACAAUGGGGGCAACCCUGAUCCAGGUAUACCGCGUGUGUGAAGAAGGCCCUAGGGUUGUAAAGCACUUUAAUCAGAGAAGAAGCAUUUUAAGUUAAUACCUUAAUAUGUUGACGUUACCUGAAGAAUAAGGACCGGCUAACUCCGUGCCAGCCGCCGCGGUAAUACA
RNAcentral lists this ribosomal RNA (540 nucleotides) under uncultured SAR156 cluster gamma proteobacterium. RNAcentral describes it as "bacterial SSU rRNA". It matches the Rfam family "Bacterial small subunit ribosomal RNA", at positions 1 to 527 of the family's 1533-position model. The record is from RNAcentral. Lineage: Bacteria; Pseudomonadati; Pseudomonadota; Gammaproteobacteria.